AUUCUAGCAAAAAAUGAAUUUCAGCGAAAAAUUCAAACAAAUUCAACAAAUCAAUUCCACCAACAAAUUUAGGAAAUUACAACAAAUUCAAACUCUACAACAAAUUCGAUUCCAGCAAAUUCAACAAUUUACUGAAAAUUCAAAACAAAUUCGACAAUAAAUUCAACAACAAAUUCCAUCAAAACAAAUUCAAGCUCAGGAGGAGUGAGGAGGCGAAAUCAGGGUUUCGGGCUCAAAGAGGUGGCGAUUUGGGAUUUGGAUUUCGGCUCAGAAGGCGGCGAUUUGAGGGAACAACGAGGGGUUGUCGUUGUUACCUGAGAAAUAGAGAGAGCGAGGGAUGAAGGGUGACGCAGAGAGAGGCGGUCGGUGGCGGCGUUCCUCGUCGGGGAAGAGAGGCGGCGGCGCGUAGUGCAUGUAGCUCCUCACCUUGAAAAAGGAGGCGACGAUUUGAGGGAGGCAACGAUUUGGGGUGUUGGGUCAGAGGGAGGCGGCGAUUUGAGGGACGUUUGCUUUGAGGGAGGCGGCACCUUAAGGUGAAGAAGAAGGAGUAAGGCGACGAGAUCAAAGGUUGAGCUUUUAGACGAAGAAGAAGAAGGCUGAGGCGCCGCUCCAGAUUUAGAAAAUAGGGUUUGAACGAGUGAAUAUUAGAAGUAAUCUUAGGGUUAUUUUAUUGCUAAUUAUGUUUGAUUAAGUUUAAGUGGAGAGAAUUUUUAAUUAGUGAGGUGGGUCCUCUAAUGGCAAAUAAAGUAAAUACAUAAAGUUAUAAAGGGUAUAAUUGUAUAAAAAGUGAAACUUGACUCUUUUUUGUGGACAAAAAAAAGAGAGAAUCAAGACUCUUUUUCGUGGAUGGAGGGGGUAUUAGGUUGUGGGUUGUGUAGAUGGAUGCGAGAGAAAUGAAUAUUUUAUUAAAAAGUUGAGUAAAGUUGGGUUGGAUGAGUGUCACGACCGUGGGUAGUCUAAAACCAGCCAACAAUUGUUGCAUCCUCUUCAUUCUUCACUUAAGGACUUCAAGAGUAGUAGAGAGCCUCUAAUUCAUUUCUGCCAAAUUCUCAAGGUAAGAUUGGCUUUAAUGCUUCCACAUUCUUCCAUAUUUCACCUGCAUUAAUGCAAGAACAACAAUUGAUAUGUUUCAGUUAUUCCCCAUUUAAGAUCAUUCAACUACAGCAGAUACUACAACAACCAACACCAAGCAAUUUCAGGGUAAGCUUUGCCUUGAACUUUACCACCUCCUGCCACAAUUUCUCCUUCAUUCAUUAAGGCAGUUACUAACAAUUAUUCUGUUUCUAGUUCUCAAUCAGCAAUAUCACAGCAACAGCCAAUCAACACAUUCUCAAGGUAUUUAUGCUACCUCAGUUAUUCAAACCAGUUUGCAUUCAUACCAACAAGGCUGAUCAUAUUCAUAAAUGAUAGAGGGCCGUAUAUGUGCAUAAUGAAUUUAGCAGUUACAUGCUUUAUAUCACAUAACACCAGUUACAUUUUCCUUAUGUAAGUAUUAGUGCGUAUGAGAACUCGAGCAGGGCAUAACUCUGAAGCAAAGCAUAGAACAGACAACAUUUUGUUUAUAUCUCACUUUAGGAAUCAUAGAGGGAAGUCACAUGUGUCUCGAUUAUUUGGUAUAUGAACUCAGAAAAUCACAGCCACAUCAAAACCACUAAAGAUCUUGUCUUGCUUGAGCUUAGGGACGCUUCUCGCUAUAGCCGGACGGUGGUGGUGAUCUCUGUCAGGACCAAGGAGAGCCCGGAUCAGAGAAGGGAGGCCGUACCAACGAGAGGACGAACACCGGAGAGGUAGCGGCGCGGCAGCGCAGCGGGUGUACCAGAGACGGCGGAGACGAACUGAGAUGACGGAACCUGGGUUCGAUUCUCUACCCACCUUGGUGUGUGCGUUAGGGUUUUUUGUAAAAGGCUCGGGGAAAAGAGCGAGGCGACGCCGACCUCGCUGAUUCACGGACGACGCGGACUCGCCGGCCUCCACCGGUGACGACGAUGAUACGGGCAGGGGAAGAGCUAGGGCACGUUUUGAAGAACGGGAGAGAUGCAAGACUCGAUUUUUCGGAAGGGAAAACGAUCUGAGGAAUUGAAAAAGGAACGAGACGAGGAGAGGAAACACGGCUGGUCGUCAACCUCGCCGGAACCGUUCGCGGCGGUAGCGGGAGAGAGAGUAGGACUGUGGGUGUGUUCUGAUUUGAGCGAG
Molecule: long non-coding RNA, 2193 nt
Filed under: Salvia miltiorrhiza (redroot sage)
Lineage: Eukaryota; Viridiplantae; Streptophyta; Magnoliopsida; Lamiales; Lamiaceae
Description: long non-coding RNA (SMIL_LNC007852)
Source: RNAcentral